RNAcentral lists this microRNA precursor (103 nucleotides) under Marmota monax (woodchuck). The record is from RNAcentral. Lineage: Eukaryota; Metazoa; Chordata; Mammalia; Rodentia; Sciuridae.
AGUGGCAUAGCUGGAUCAAAUGGUGGUUGCAUUUCAAGUUUUCCAAGGAAUCUUUAUACUGCUUUCCAGAUUGACUGCACCAAUUUGCAGUCCUACCAGCAAU